RNAcentral lists this ribosomal RNA (253 nucleotides) under uncultured bacterium. Its description in RNAcentral is "partial 16S ribosomal RNA". It matches the Rfam family "Bacterial small subunit ribosomal RNA", at positions 524 to 776 of the family's 1533-position model. The record is from RNAcentral.
UACGUAGGGUGCGAGCGUUAAUCGGAAUUACUGGGCGUAAAGUGUGCGCAGGCGGCAGAGCAAGUCGAGUGUGAAAGCCCCGGGCUUAACUUGGGAAUUGCACUCGAAACUACUUUGCUGGAGUGUGGCAGAGGAAGGUGGAAUUCCACGUGUAGCGGUGAAAUGCGUAGAGAUGUGGAGGAACACCAAUGGCGAAGGCAGCCUUCUGGGCCAACACUGACGCUCAUGCACGAAAGCGUGGGGAGCAAACAGG